GCAAAACAGGCAACGGGCCUGAACUCACAGAGCACUAAUGUCGGCCCAGGAAGCAGGGAUUAAGCACAGAACACCACCAGAUUAAAGAAUUCAUUGCAAACAUGAAAACAAGAAACUUUGAACGACCUCAGAGAACAUGAUGAUGUGAACUGUACUGAUUGCAUUAAAAUAUGUAAAGGAAAUGAGGAAAUAUCACCAAACCACAUGGUAGAGAGACUUGGUCCCCUGCUGCUGGGCACGUCCUCCAGGGAAAGAGAUGGAGCAGUGAGUGGCACGGCGGUGGCCCCUCAAAGUCUCUUCUCCGAGGAGCCCACUGUGAGACAAGAAUCUGUGAAUAGUCUGACUUGGUUUCUCGGUGAGUGUACAGUCACCUGCAUUGGGAAUCCAUCACACGUCCGUGUGGCCCGAGACACUCUGCACAUGGAGCUGGGGGCCCUGGG
RNAcentral lists this long non-coding RNA (440 nucleotides) under Vulpes vulpes (red fox). RNAcentral's name for it is "lncRNA (ENSVVUG00000008454.1)". Lineage: Eukaryota; Metazoa; Chordata; Mammalia; Carnivora; Canidae. The record is from RNAcentral.